Molecule: long non-coding RNA, 2260 nt
Filed under: Homo sapiens (human)
Lineage: Eukaryota; Metazoa; Chordata; Mammalia; Primates; Hominidae
Description: HSALNT0052100
Source: RNAcentral
AAAAGGAUAUAGCUUGGUUUAUUCAUGUGCUGGGGCUGCUGUAACAAAGGACCAUGGACUCGGUGGCUUAAACAACAGAAGUUAAUUUCUUGACAGUUCUGGAGGCUGGAAGUCUGAGAUCAACAUGUGGGCAGGGUUGGUUCCUUCUGAGGGCUGUGAGGGAAGGAGCUGUUCCAGGCCUCUCUCCUUGGCUUGCGGAGGGGCCUGUGUCUUCACAUUGUCUUCCCUCUAGGGACACCAGUGGGAUUGUAUUGGGCCCACCUUAAUUCUCUCAUUUUAAUGACCUCUUUGAAGACUCUAUCUCUAAAUAAGUUUAUGUUCCGAGGUACUGGGUGUUAGAAUUUCAACAUGUGAAUUUUUGGGAGGCACAAUUCAGCUCAUAACACUUGAGAAACCGGGUCACAUAAAGAUUUCUGUUUUUCUUUCCAUUCCCCGUUUGUGAGCUUCUAGAGGUCUUCCUUGUUUUUCUAGUGUCUCACAAAUUGCCUAACAGUCUUUCAAUAAAUGUUAUUUAAAUUGAUUGACUAUGGAUGGACGCUUAUCGAUGUUUAAUGAGGUUAUAAUCUUAAAAAAUUUUUUGUGUGUGCAAAGUACACUGCCCUAGACUUCAUGUGGUCCCAGGCCUUUUACAAGCAAGUCUGAUGGACACUGAUUGGAUGAGGUCCUGUGGUAGGAAUCUACCUCAUGUUGCUGUAGAUUUCUGAAUUGCUUAAUCCUCCUUUCUGCUUUUGUGCAGUGUGCAUGUAGAGUGGGAGAAUUCAUCUGGGGCCACCAAAGAGGCUUGACGUCUCAACACCCUCAGAAACUUGUUUCUUCUUUUGUGUCUAAGAGUUUUUCAAAAGAAAAAGAAGAAAAGAAAUAGCGCUGCUUCAUUCAAACAUAGUAAAAGAUUCUAGGUGUUUGUAUUUUUAAGCACUCAAAGCGAGACUGUAAUAAGCAGAUAAUUGUCAUUGAGAGGUGGGACAUCAAAAGAAGGCCUCAAAAUAACAGAAGACUGAAUCUCAAGUCAUUUCCAAUGGAGGGGAAGCCAGAAGGGCCUGGCAGAUCUGGGAUCCAUCCUAGGCUAUGCCAAGAAAAUGAAUUAGCAGCUCAGCUUGAGGAAACACCGGAAAUUCUGGCAACUGCCCUAAAUGGAUUUUCUCACUCCUUUGAGCUUUGCCCACAGCCACUGAACGCAUUAUGUUACAAAGCUAAUUAUAUAAGAUUUAAGAGCCAAGGGAAGGCUGAUUCAUUUGAUAAGCUAAUUUCAGAGCGUAACUUGAGCCUGGAUGCAUGCGUUGCUUAACAACAGGAAUACUUGUUGAAAAAUGUGUCAUUAGGCGAUUUCAUCCUGUAAACACCACAGAGUGUACUUACCCAAACCUAGAUGGGAUAACCUACUACACACCUAUGCUGUAUGGUAUAGUCUAUUGCUUCUAGGCUGCAAAGCUGCAUAGCAUGUUACUGUACUAAAUACAGUAGGCAGUUCUGACACAGUGAUAAGUAUGUGUGUCUAAACAUAACUAAAUAUAGAAAAGGUACAGUAAAAAUAUGGCAUAAUCUAAUGGGACCACUGUCAUAUAUGUGGCUUUUCAUUGAUUGAAACAUCAUUAUGUGGUGCAUGACUGUACUUCUUGGAGGCAUGAGAAGUUAAAGAAUAAAACAAAAUGUACCCUUAGCUAUAGACAUUGCAAUUACCCUAAGUUUGCUGUCUAUGAAAGUUUAGGUUUUAAUGGGAUAUUUCUAUUUGUAGUCUCACUUAAUUUUUCAGACUUUAGACCAUUGUUUAGUGCUGAUUUUUAUGGCUACUUUAUGGGAGCGAGGACUUUCUUUUUUGGAAUAAGAAAUGCUUUAUUUUAUUCGGAAGGUGGGAUCAACUAAUGAAACAUUGUUAUCCACCCUGGCAUUGGGGUGAUUUUGGCUUUACCCUGUGACUUCUUUGAGAACUCAGGACAAUCCUAGAGCUUCUCGGGUAACCAUGUUUAUAAAAGCAUCCAUUUCCGCACUUAGGGAGGCUGAGGCAGGAGGAUCACUAGGAGUUCAAGACCAGCCUGGGCAAUAUAGCAAGAGCACCGCCCCCUCCACCCCCACUGCAAUCUCUCCAAAAAAUUAAACAAACUAGUUGGGCAUGGUGGUGUGCACCUGUAGUCCUAGCUACUCUGGAGGCUGAGAUGGGAGGAUUGUUUGAAUCCAGGAGUUUGAGGCUGCAGUGACCUAUGAUCACAUAACUGCACUUCAGCCUGGGCAACAGAGGAAACCCUGUCUUAAAAAAAAAAAAAAA